AGAGUUUGAUCCUGGCUCAGGACGAACGCUGGCGGCGUGCUUAACACAUGCAAGUCGAACGGUAAGGCCCUUCGGGGUACACGAGUGGCGAACGGGUGAGUAACACGUGGGUAAUCUGCCCUGCACAUCGGGAUAAGCCUGGGAAACUGGGUCUAAUACCGAAUAGGACCACAGGACACAUGUCCUGUGGUGGAAAGCUUUUGCGGUGUGGGAUGGGCCCGCGGCCUAUCAGCUUGUUGGUGGGGUGAUGGCUUACCAAGGCGACGACGGGUAGCCGGCCUGAGAGGGUGUCCGGCCACACUGGGACUGAGAUACGGCCCAGACUCCUACGGGAGGCAGCAGUGGGGAAUAUUGCACAAUGGGCGAAAGCCUGAUGCAGCGACGCCGCGUGGGGGAUGACGGCCUUCGGGUUGUAAACCUCUUUCACCAUCGACGAAGGUCCGGGUUUUCUCGGGCUGACGGUAGGUGGAGAAGAAGCACCGGCCAACUACGUGCCAGCAGCCGCGGUAAUACGUAGGGUGCGAGCGUUGUCCGGAAUUACUGGGCGUAAAGAGCUCGUAGGUGGUUUGUCGCGCUGUUCGUGAAAUCUCACGGCUUAACUGUGAGCGUGCGGGCGAUACGGGCAGACUUGAGUACUGCAGGGGAGACUGGAAUUCCUGGUGUAGCGGUGAAAUGCGUAGA
This 681-nucleotide ribosomal RNA is filed under the name uncultured bacterium. Its description in RNAcentral is "bacterial SSU rRNA". It matches the Rfam family "Bacterial small subunit ribosomal RNA", at positions 8 to 694 of the family's 1533-position model. The record is from RNAcentral.